This 207-nucleotide ribosomal RNA is filed under the name uncultured bacterium. Its description in RNAcentral is "partial 16S ribosomal RNA". It matches the Rfam family "Bacterial small subunit ribosomal RNA", at positions 568 to 774 of the family's 1533-position model. The record is from RNAcentral.
CACGUAGGCGGAUACUUAAGUCAGGGGUGAAAUCCCGGGGCUCAACCCCGGAACUGCCUUUGAUACUGGGUAUCUCGAGUCCGAGAGAGGUGAGUGGAAUUCCGAGUGUAGAGGUGAAAUUCGUAGAUAUUCGGAGGAACACCAGUGGCGAAGGCGGCUCACUGGCUCGGUACUGACGCUGAGGUGCGAAAGCGUGGGGAGCAAACA